This 498-nucleotide ribosomal RNA is filed under the name uncultured bacterium. RNAcentral describes it as "partial 16S ribosomal RNA". It matches the Rfam family "Bacterial small subunit ribosomal RNA", at positions 30 to 523 of the family's 1533-position model. The record is from RNAcentral.
AUUGAACGCUGGCGGCAUGCUUUACACAUGCAAGUCGAACGGUAACAGGCCGCAAGGUGCUGACGAGUGGCGAACGUGUGAGUAAUGCAUCGGAACGUGCCCAGUCGGGGGGGAUAAUGCAGCGAAAUCUGUGCUAAUACCGCAUACGACCUAUGGAUGAAAGCGGGGGCCCGUAAGGCCCCGGGCGACUGGAGCGGCCGAUGUCAGAUUAGGUAGUUGGGGGGGUAAAGGCCUACCAAGCAGACUAUCUGUAGCUGGUCUGAGAGGACGACCAGCCACACUGGGACUGAGACACGGCCCAGACUCCUACGGGAGGCAGCAGUGGGGAAUUUUGGACAAUGGUCGCAAGCCUGAUCCAGCAAUGCCGCGUGCAGGAAGAAGGCCUUCGGGUUGUAAACUGCUUUUGUACGGAACGAAACGGUCUGGGUUAAUACCCUGGGCUAAUGACGGUACCGUAAGAAUAAGCACCGGCUAACUACGUGCCAGCCGCCGCCGUAA